Anolis sagrei ordinatus is the source of this 1108-nucleotide non-coding RNA. The record is from RefSeq and is a predicted model, not a curated record. Lineage: Eukaryota; Metazoa; Chordata; Lepidosauria; Squamata; Anolidae.
UGAGAUCUCCAUUUUUGAAAAGUUCUUUUUGCCUUCUACAGAAAAGAGAAAAGAACUCAGAUGUGCUUGUGUGGUCAAGCCAGGCCAGCUCAGACAAGCCAUCUCUUGGACAAUGAUCUGCAGGGGUGGCAUCCUGAUGGUAACCCCAACUAGAAGAAACCUAUUUAAUUAAUUGUGGAUGACGAGUCAAUGAAAAGGUUGACAUGGUGGAAUAUGGAGAAACACCAGUGUGGGAAAUUGAGCAUGCAAGAAUAACAACAGUCAGAUUUCAACAAUUUUCAAUGAAUAGGUUCCAUACUCAAAUUAUCCUUGAAUUGAAGACUUUGUUUAUCAACACGUUUGAUUAAAAUGAAAGACGCAAAAGUGCUUAAUAUAUUUAAAUUUAAAGCAGUUGAAAAUGUUAGAAAUACAAUGCACAAACAUGUAAAAUCUAAAGACCAACACUCUGACAUGUUAGUUUUAUAGAACUUCUUCUUUUGUGUUUUAUUUCCCCCAAAAAAGUUGCUUGGCUCUGUUCUACAUUAAGCAAUGUAAUAGAGCGUCAUAUAUAAAUCAGAUGGCUGAUCAUUCCAUAAGAACAGGUGUUCAGUGUUUAGUGUAGUUCUACACUAAUGUUAUUUCCUUGCUUUUUGGCUCUCUUUUCAGAUUAUUAAUGUUUCAGACAUAGUUAACUAAGUGUAGUCAUUAUGUUAACCUAAGUUUUGAUUUUCCAAAGCGGAAGCUUCCUGAACUCCUGAUGUGAAGAUGUUGGAAGAUGACAUUUCACUAAUGACUCCUUCAAAAAAAUGACAAAGAUUGAUAGAGUUGUUCUCAAAUAGGUACCCAAGAGGUAUGCCUGUAUGUGAGUAAAAUCAUGUGACAUCUUAAGCAAUCAUGCCAUUGUCCGAAGAUUUGUUAAUACUCUUAUAGGGAAAAAUUGAAAUAAGUGUUUAAAUGUUAUUUCUUGUUAAGCAAUGGUUUUGUCUGCUGAAUAACUGAGUUCUGUAUAGUUGAUUAAAAAGAUGUCAUGUAUGAUAUGACAUUCCCUAAGGAUUAAUAAGAUGAGCCAUAAAUGAGAAAGAUGCUAAGGAGAAGCCAUGUCUUUUUGUUAGCAACAGAUGCAAUCUCA